This 422-nucleotide ribosomal RNA is filed under the name uncultured bacterium. Its description in RNAcentral is "partial 16S ribosomal RNA". It matches the Rfam family "Bacterial small subunit ribosomal RNA", at positions 357 to 791 of the family's 1533-position model. The record is from RNAcentral.
GGGAAUAUUGCACAAUGGGCGAAAGCCUGAUGCAGCGACGCCGCGUGCGGGAUGAAGGCCUUCGGGUUGUAAACCGCUUUUGAUUGGGAGCAAGCGAGAGUGAGUGUACCUUUCGAAUAAGCACCGGCUAACUACGUGCCAGCAGCCGCGGUAAUACGUAGGGUGCAAGCGUUAUCCGGAAUUAUUGGGCGUAAAGAGCUCGUAGGCGGUUUGUCGCGUCUGGUGUGAAAGUCCAUCGCUUAACGGUGGAUCUGCGCCGGGUACGGGCAGGCUAGAGUGCGACAGGGGAGACUGGAAUUCCCGGUGUAACGGUGGAAUGUGUAGAUAUCGGGAAGAACACCAAUGGCGAAGGCAGGUCUCUGGGUCGUCACUGACGCUGAGGAGCGAAAGCGUGGGGAGCGAACAGGAUUAGAUACCCUGGU